This 1359-nucleotide ribosomal RNA is filed under the name uncultured bacterium. RNAcentral's name for it is "bacterial SSU rRNA". It matches the Rfam family "Bacterial small subunit ribosomal RNA", at positions 28 to 1381 of the family's 1533-position model. The record is from RNAcentral.
GACGAACGCUGGGCAGCGUGCUUAACACACGCAAGUCGAACGGAAUGGCCCCGCUUUUCGGGGAGGCCCGAGGGGCGAACGGGUGGGUAACACGUGAGUAACCCGCCCUUGACUUUCGGGACACUUUCAGGAAACCGGGGCUCAUCCCGGAUAGGAGCUCCCGCCGCACGGUGGGGGUUGGAAAGUUUUCGGCGGUUGGGGAACGGACUCGCGGCUUCUCAGCUUGUUGGUGGGGUAGUGGCUUCCCAAGGCUUUCGACGGGUAGCCGGCCUGAGAGGGUGACCGGCCACAUUGGGACUCGAGAUACGGCCCAGAACUCCUACGGGAGGCAGCAGUGGGGAAUAUUGCACAAUGGGGCGGAAGCCUGAUGCAGCAACGCCGCGUGCGGGAAGACGGCCUUCGGGUUGUAAACCGCUUUUCGCCUGUGACGAAGCGUGAGUGACGGUAAUGGGUAAAGAAGCACCGGCUAACUACGUGCCAGCAGCCGCGGUGAUACGUAGGGUACGAGCGUUGUCCGGAUUUAUUGGGCGUAAAGGGCUCGUAGGUGGUUGAUCGCGUCGGAAGUGUAAUCUUGGGGCUUAACCCUGAGCGUGCUUUCGAUACGGGUUGACUUGAGGAAGGUAGGGGAGAAUGGAAUUCCUGGUGGAGCGGUGGAAUGCGCAGAUAUCAGGAGGAACACCAGUGGCGAAGGCGGUUCUCUGGGCCUUUCCUGACGCUGAGGAGCGAAAGCGUGGGGAGCGAACAGGCUUAGAUACCCUGGUAGUCCACGCUGUAAACGGUGGGUACUAGGUGUGGGGUCCAUUCCACGGGUUCCGUGCCGUAGCUAACGCUUUAAGUACCCCGCCUGGGGAGUACGGCCGCAAGGCUAAAACUCAAAGGAAUUGACGGGGCCCCGCACAAGCGGCGGAGCAUGCGGAUUAAUUCGAUGCAACGCGUAGAACCUUACCUGGGUUUGACAUGGAUCGGGAGUGCUCAGAGAUGGGUGUGCCUCUUUUGGGGUCGGUUCACAGGUGGUGCAUGGCUGUCGUCAGCUCGUGUCGUGAGAUGUUGGGUUAAGUCCCGCAACGAGCGCAACCCUUGUUCACUGUUGCCAGCACGUUAUGGUGGGGACUCAGUGGAGACCGCCGGGGUCAACUCGGAGGAAAGGUGGGGAUGACGUCAAGUCAUCAUGCCCCUUAUGUCCAGGGCUUCACGCAUGCUACAAUGGCUGGUACAGAGAGUGGCGAGCCUGUGAGGGUGAGCGAAUCUCGGAAAGCCGGUCUCAGUUUCGGAUUGGGGUCUGCAACUCGACCUCAUGAAGUCGGAGUCGCUAGUAAUCGCAGAUCAGCAACGCUGCGGUGAAAUACGUUUCCCGGGGCU